GACGAACGCUGGCGGCGUGCUUAACACAUGCAAGUCGAACGGUAAGGCCCUUCGGGGUACACGAGUGGCGAACGGGUGAGUAACACGUGGGUGAUCUGCCCUGCACUUCGGGAUAAGCCUGGGAAACUGGGUCUAAUACCGGAUAGGACCACUGCCUGCAUGGGUGGUGGUGGAAAGCUUUUGCGGUGUGGGAUGGGCCCGCGGCCUAUCGGCUUGUUGGUGGGGUGAUGGCCUACCAAGGCGACGACGGGUAGCCGGCCUGAGAGGAUGGCCAGCCAGACUGGGACUGAGACACGGCCCAGACUCCUACGGGAGGCAGCAGUUAGGAAUUUUGCGCAAUGGGGGAAACCCUGACGCAGCCACGCCGCGUGCGGGAUGAAGGCCUUCGGGUCGUAAACCGCUUUUGUCGAGGAAGACACCCGACGGUACUCGGCGAAUAAGCAACGGCUAACUACGUGCCAGCCGCCGCAGUAA
This 474-nucleotide ribosomal RNA is filed under the name uncultured bacterium. RNAcentral's name for it is "partial 16S ribosomal RNA". It matches the Rfam family "Bacterial small subunit ribosomal RNA", at positions 28 to 523 of the family's 1533-position model. The record is from RNAcentral.